UAGGGAAUCUUCCACAAUGGACGCAAGUCUGAUGGAACAACGCCGCGUGAGUGAAGAAGGUUUUCGGACCGUAAAGCUCUGUUGUUGGUGAAGAAGGAUAGAGGUAGUAACUGGCCUUUAUUUGACGGUAAUCAACCAGAAAGUCACGGCUAACUACGUGCCAGCAGCCGCGGUAAUACGUAGGUGGCAAGCGUUGUCCGGAUUUAUUGGGCGUAAAGCGAGCGCAGGCGGAAGAAUAAGUCUGAUGUGAAAGCCCUCGGCUUAACCGAGGAAUUGCAUCGGAAACUGUUUUCUUGAGUGCAGAAGAGGAGAGUAGAACUCCAUGUGUAGCGGUGGAAUGCGUAGAUAUAUGGAAGAAUACCAGUGGCGAAGGCGGCUCUCUGGUCUGCAACUGACGCUGAGGCUCGAAAGCAUGGGUAGCGAACAGGAUUAGAUACCCUGGUAGUCCAUGCCGUAAACGAUGAGUGCUAAGUGUUGGGAGGCUUCCGCCUCUCAGUGCUGCAGCUAACGCAUUAAGCACUCCGCCUGGGGGAGUACGAC
Molecule: ribosomal RNA, 540 nt
Filed under: uncultured bacterium
Lineage: Bacteria
Description: partial 16S ribosomal RNA
Rfam family: Bacterial small subunit ribosomal RNA
Source: RNAcentral